GAGAUUCCCCCAGUAGCGGCGAGCGAACGGGGAGGAGCCCAGAGCCUGAAUCAGUGUGUGUGUUAGUGGAAGCGUCUGGAAAGGCGCGCGAUACAGGGUGACAGCCCCGUACACAAAAAUGCACAUAUUGUGAGCUCGAUGAGUAGGGCGGGACACGUGGUAUCCUGUCUGAAUAUGGGGGGACCAUCCUCCAAGGCUAAAUACUCCUGACUGACCGAUAGUGAACCAGUACCGUGAGGGAAAGGCGAAAAGAACCCCGGCGAGGGGAGUGAAAAAGAACCUGAAACCGUGUACGUACAAGCAGUGGGAGCCUCUUUAUGGGGUGACUGCGUACCUUUUGUAUAAUGGGUCAGCGACUUAUAUUCUGUAGCAAGGUUAACCGAAUAGGGGAGCCGAAGGGAAACCGAGUCUUAACUGGGCGUUAAGUUGCAGGGUAUAGACCCGAAACCCGGUGAUCUAGCCAUGGGCAGGUUGAAGGUUGGGUAACACUAACUGGAGGACCGAACCGACUAAUGUUGAAAAAUUAGCGGAUGACUUGUGGCUGGGGGUGAAAGGCCAAUCAAACCGGGAGAUAGCUGGUUCUCCCCGAAAGCUAUUUAGGUAGCGCCUCGUGAAUUCAUCUCCGGGGGUAGAGCACUGUUUCGGCAAGGGGGUCAUCCCGACUUACCAACCCGAUGCAAACUGCGAAUACCGGAGAAUGUUAUCACGGGAGACACACGGCGGGUGCUAACGUCCGUCGUGAAGAGGGAAACAACCCAGACCGCCAGCUAAGGUCCCAAAGUCAUGGUUAAGUGGGAAACGAUGUGGGAAGGCCCAGACAGCCAGGAUGUUGGCUUAGAAGCAGCCAUCAUUUAAAGAAAGCGUAAUAGCUCACUGGUCGAGUCGGCCUGCGCGGAAGAUGUAACGGGGCUAAACCAUGCACCGAAGCUGCGGCAGCGACACUAUGUGUUGUUGGGUAGGGGAGCGUUCUGUAAGCCUGUGAAGGUGGCCUGUGAGGGUUGCUGGAGGUAUCAGAAGUGCGAAUGCUGACAUAAGUAACGAUAAAGCGGGUGAAAAGCCCGCUCGCCGGAAGACCAAGGGUUCCUGUCCAACGUUAAUCGGGGCAGGGUGAGUCGACCCCUAAGGCGAGGCCGAAAGGCGUAGUCGAUGGGAAACAGGUUAAUAUUCCUGUACUUGGUGUUACUGCGAAGGGGGGACGGAGAAGGCUAUGUUGGCCGGGCGACGGUUGUCCCGGUUUAAGCGUGUAGGCUGGUUUUCCAGGCAAAUCCGGAAAACCAAGGCUGAGGCGUGAUGACGAGGCACUACGGUGCUGAAGCGACAAAUGCCCUGCUUCCAGGAAAAGCCUCUAAGCAUCAGGUAACAUCAAAUCGUACCCCAAACCGACACAGGUGGUCAGGUAGAGAAUACCAAGGCGCUUGAGAGAACUCGGGUGAAGGAACUAGGCAAAAUGGUGCCGUAACUUCGGGAGAAGGCACGCUGAUAUGUAGGUGAAGCGACUUGCUCGUGGAGCUGAAAUCAGUCGAAGAUACCAGCUGGCUGCAACUGUUUAUUAAAAACACAGCACUGUGCAAACACGAAAGUGGACGUAUACGGUGUGACGCCUGCCCGGUGCCGGAAGGUUAAUUGAUGGGGUUAGCGGUAACGCGAAGCUCUUGAUCGAAGCCCCGGUAAACGGCGGCCGUAACUAUAACGGUCCUAAGGUAGCGAAAUUCCUUGUCGGGUAAGUUCCGACCUGCACGAAUGGCGUAAUGAUGGCCAGGCUGUCUCCACCCGAGACUCAGUGAAAUUGAACUCGCUGUGAAGAUGCAGUGUACCCGCGGCAAGACGGAAAGACCCCGUGAACCUUUACUAUAGCUUGACACUGAACAUUGAGCCUUGAUGUGUAGGAUAGGUGGGAGGCUUUGAAGUGUGGACGCCAGUCUGCAUGGAGCCGACCUUGAAAUACCACCCUUUAAUGUUUGAUGUUCUAACGUUGGCCCGUAAUCCGGGUUGCGGACAGUGUCUGGUGGGUAGUUUGACUGGGGCGGUCUCCUCCUAAAGAGUAACGGAGGAGCACGAAGGUUGGCUAAUCCUGGUCGGACAUCAGGAGGUUAGUGCAAUGGCAUAAGCCAGCUUGACUGCGAGCGUGACGGCGCGAGCAGGUGCGAAAGCAGGUCAUAGUGAUCCGGUGGUUCUGAAUGGAAGGGCCAUCGCUCAACGGAUAAAAGGUACUCCGGGGAUAACAGGCUGAUACCGCCCAAGAGUUCAUAUCGACGGCGGUGUUUGGCACCUCGAUGUCGGCUCAUCACAUCCUGGGGCUGAAGUAGGUCCCAAGGGUAUGGCUGUUCGCCAUUUAAAGUGGUACGCGAGCUGGGUUUAGAACGUCGUGAGACAGUUCGGUCCCUAUCUGCCGUGGGCGCUGGAGAACUGAGGGGGGCUGCUCCUAGUACGAGAGGACCGGAGUGGACGCAUCACUGGUGUUCGGGUUGUCAUGCCAAUGGCACUGCCCGGUAGCUAAAUGCGGAAGAGAUAAGUGCUGAAAGCAUCUAAGCACGAAACUUGCCCCGAGAUGAGUUCUCCCUGACUCCUUGAGAGUCCUGAAGGAACGUUGAAGACGACGACGUUGAUAGGCCGGGUGUGUAAGCGCAGCGAUGCGUUGAGCUAACCGGUACUAAUGAACCGUGAGGCUUAACCUUACAACGCCGAAG
RNAcentral lists this ribosomal RNA (2687 nucleotides) under Escherichia coli. RNAcentral describes it as "partial 23S ribosomal RNA". It matches the Rfam family "Bacterial large subunit ribosomal RNA". Lineage: Bacteria; Pseudomonadati; Pseudomonadota; Gammaproteobacteria; Enterobacterales; Enterobacteriaceae. The record is from RNAcentral.